Molecule: ribosomal RNA, 497 nt
Filed under: uncultured bacterium
Lineage: Bacteria
Description: partial 16S ribosomal RNA
Rfam family: Bacterial small subunit ribosomal RNA
Source: RNAcentral
GAUGAACGCUGGCGGCGUGCCUAAUGCAUGCAAGUCGAGCGAACAGACGAGGAGCUUGCUCCUCUGACGUUAGCGGCGGACGGGUGAGUAACACGUGGAUAACCUACCUAUAAGACUGGGAUAACUUCGGGAAACCGGAGCUAAUACCGGAUAAUAUAUUGAACCGCAUGGUUCAAUAGUGAAAGACGGUUUUGCUGUCACUUAUAGAUGGAUCCGCGCCGCAUUAGCUAGUUGGUAAGGUAACGGCUUACCGAGGCAACGAUGCGUAGCCGACCUGAGAGGGUGAUCGGCCACACUGGAACUGAGACACGGUCCAGACUCCUACGGGAGGCAGCAGUAGGGAAUCUUCCGCAAUGGGCGAAAGCCUGACGGAGCAACGCCGCGUGAGUGAUGAAGGUCUUCGGAUCGUAAAACUCUGUUAUUAGGGAAGAACAAAUGUGUAAGUAACUAUGCACGUCUUGACGGUACCUAAUCAGAAAGCCACGGCUAACUACGUG